Molecule: ribosomal RNA, 468 nt
Filed under: uncultured bacterium
Lineage: Bacteria
Description: partial 16S ribosomal RNA
Rfam family: Bacterial small subunit ribosomal RNA
Source: RNAcentral
GACGAACGCUGGCGGCGUGCUUAACACAUGCAAGUCGAACGGAAAGGCCCUGCUUUUGUGGGGUGCUCGAGUGGCGAACGGGUGAGUAACACGUGAGUAACCUGCCCUUGACUUUGGGAUAACUUUAGGAAACUGGGGCUAAUACCGGAUAGGAGCUCCUGCUGCAUGGUGGGGGUUGGAAAGUUUCGGCGGUUGGGGAUGGACUCGCGGCUUAUCAGCUUGUUGGUGGGGCAGUGGCUUACCAAGGCUUUGACGGGUAGCCGGCCUGAGAGGGUGACCGGCCACAUUGGGACUGAGAUACGGCCCAGACUCCUACGGGAGGCAGCAGUGGGGAAUAUUGCACAAUGGGCGGAAGCCUGAUGCAGCAACGCCGCGUGCGGGAUGACGGCCUUCGGGUUGUAAACCGCUUUCGCCUGUGACGAAGCGUGAGUGACGGUAAUGGGUAAAGAAGCACCGGCUAACUACGUG